RNAcentral lists this ribosomal RNA (200 nucleotides) under uncultured bacterium. Its description in RNAcentral is "partial 16S ribosomal RNA". It matches the Rfam family "Bacterial small subunit ribosomal RNA", at positions 328 to 538 of the family's 1533-position model. The record is from RNAcentral.
ACGCUCGACACCUACUGGAGGCAGCAGUGGGGAAUAUUGCACAAUGGGGGAAACCCUGAUGCAGCGACGCCGCGUGAGUGAAGAAGUAUUUCGGUAUGUAAAGCUCUAUCAGCAGGGAAGAAGAUGACGGUACCUGAGUAAGAAGCCCCGGCUAACUACGUGCCAGCAGCCGUGGUAAUCUGAGGCGGGCGUGGCAAGGC